CGGGACGGGUGAGUAAUGUCUGGGAAACUGCCUGAUGGAGGGGGAUAACUACUGGAAACGGUAGCUAAUACCGCAUAACGUCGCAAGACCAAAGAGGGGGGCCGUUCGGGCCUCUUGCCAUCGGAUGUGCCCAGAUGGGAUUAGCUAGUAGGUGGGGUAACGGCUCACCUAGGCGACGAUCCCUAGCUGGUCUGAGAGGAUGACCAGCCACACUGGAACUGAGACACGGUCCAG
RNAcentral lists this ribosomal RNA (234 nucleotides) under uncultured bacterium. Its description in RNAcentral is "partial 16S ribosomal RNA". It matches the Rfam family "Bacterial small subunit ribosomal RNA", at positions 100 to 334 of the family's 1533-position model. The record is from RNAcentral.